Molecule: non-coding RNA, 481 nt
Organism: Rhinolophus ferrumequinum (greater horseshoe bat)
Lineage: Eukaryota; Metazoa; Chordata; Mammalia; Chiroptera; Rhinolophidae
Source: the annotation of a RefSeq genome assembly
CCCCGGCUGUAGUUUGCAGGUGCACGGUUGAUCCUAAAUGGGAAGAAUGCUGAAGACAUCCAUUGGUGCUUUAUUCAUGUUCUUUUAUCUGCAGCUGGACUGGGUCAGCGGUGGUGACAAUGUGGAUCAGAGUCCUCCCACCCUGAGUGUCCAGGAGGGAAACAGCUGUGCCAUGAACUGUUCUUAUUCAAACAGUGCCUUAGACUACUUUCCUUGGUAUAAGCAAGAAGCUGGAAAAGGUCCCCAGUUUAUUAUACACAUUCGUUCAAAUCAGGACAAAACCGAAGAUGGAAGAUUCACUGUUUCAUUGAAUAAGGCAACCAAACAGCUCUCCCUGCACAUCGAGGCCACCCAACCUGGAGACUCAGCUGUCUACUUCUGCGCAGCGAGUACACAUUGCUUCUCAGGCACCUGCAACCUGUACGCAAACCUGUGGGAGGAGCCACCGCUCUCCUUUGGGACAAUCUUGAAGCAUAGAUAG